UUGAAGAGUUUGAUCAUGGCUCAGAUUGAACGCUGGCGGCAGGCCUAACACAUGCAAGUCGAGCGGUAGCACAGAGAGCUUGCUCUCGGGUGACGAGCGGCGGACGGGUGAGUAAUGUCUGGGAAACUGCCUGAUGGAGGGGGAUAACUACUGGAAACGGUAGCUAAUACCGCAUAACGUCGCAAGACCAAAGAGGGGGACCUUCGGGCCUCUUGCCAUCAGAUGUGCCCAGAUGGGAUUAGCUAGUAGGUGGGGUAACGGCUCACCUAGGCGACGAUCCCUAGCUGGUCUGAGAGGAUGACCAGCCACACUGGAACUGAGACACGGUCCAGACUCCUACGGGAGGCAGCAGUGGGGAAUAUUGCACAAUGGGCGCAAGCCUGAUGCAGCCAUGCCGCGUGUAUGAAGAAGGCCUUCGGGUUGUAAAGUACUUUCAGCGGGGAGGAAGGUGUUGAGGUUAAUAACCUCAGCAAUUGACGUUACCCGCAGAAGAAGCACCGGCUAACUCCGUGCCAGCAGCCGCGGUAAUACGGAGGGUGCAAGCGUUAAUCGGAAUUACUGGGCGUAAAGCGCACGCAGGCGGUCUGUCAAGUCGGAUGUGAAAUCCCCGGGCUCAACCUGGGAACUGCAUUCGAAACUGGCAGGCUAGAGUCUUGUAGAGGGGGGUAGAAUUCCAGGUGUAGCGGUGAAAUGCGUAGAGAUCUGGAGGAAUACCGGUGGCGAAGGCGGCCCCCUGGACAAAGACUGACGCUCAGGUGCGAAAGCGUGGGGAGCAAACAGGAUUAGAUACCCUGGUAGUCCACGCCGUAAACGAUGUCGACUUGGAGGUUGUGCCCUUGAGGCGUGGCUUCCGGAGCUAACGCGUUAAGUCGACCGCCUGGGGAGUACGGCCGCAAGGUUAAAACUCAAAUGAAUUGACGGGGGCCCGCACAAGCGGUGGAGCAUGUGGUUUAAUUCGAUGCAACGCGAAGAACCUUACCUACUCUUGACAUCCAGAGAACUUUCCAGAGAUGGAUUGGUGCCUUCGGGAACUCUGAGACAGGUGCUGCAUGGCUGUCGUCAGCUCGUGUUGUGAAAUGUUGGGUUAAGUCCCGCAACGAGCGCAACCCUUAUCCUUUGUUGCCAGCGGUUAGGCCGGGAACUCAAAGGAGACUGCCAGUGAUAAACUGGAGGAAGGUGGGGAUGACGUCAAGUCAUCAUGGCCCUUACGAGUAGGGCUACACACGUGCUACAAUGGCGCAUACAAAGAGAAGCGACCUCGCGAGAGCAAGCGGACCUCAUAAAGUGCGUCGUAGUCCGGAUUGGAGUCUGCAACUCGACUCCAUGAAGUCGGAAUCGCUAGUAAUCGUAGAUCAGAAUGCUACGGUGAAUACGUUCCCGGGCCUUGUACACACCGCCCGUCACACCAUGGGAGUGGGUUGCAAAAGAAGUAGGUAGCUUAACCUUCGGGAGGGCGCUUACCACUUUGUGAUUCAUGACUGGGGUGAAGUCGUAACAAGGUAACCGUAGGGGAACCUGCGGUUGGAUCACCUCCUU
Molecule: ribosomal RNA, 1536 nt
Filed under: Enterobacter sp. AS-1
Lineage: Bacteria; Pseudomonadati; Pseudomonadota; Gammaproteobacteria; Enterobacterales; Enterobacteriaceae
Description: bacterial SSU rRNA
Rfam family: Bacterial small subunit ribosomal RNA
Source: RNAcentral